GAUGAACGCUGGCGGCGUGCCUAAUACAUGCAAGUCGAGCGAACGGACGAGAAGCUUGCUUUUCUGAUGUUAGCGGCGGACGGGUGAGUAACACGUGGAUAACCUACCUAUAAGACUGGGAUAACUUCGGGAAACCGGAGCUAAUACCGGAUAAUAUUUUGAACCGCAUGGUUCAAAAGUGAAAGACGGUCUUGCUGUCACUUAUAGAUGGAUCCGCGCUGCAUUAGCUAGUUGGUAAGGUAACGGCUUACCAAGGCAACGAUGCAUAGCCGACCUGAGAGGGUGAUCGGCCACACUGGAACUGAGACACGGUCCAGACUCCUACGGGAGGCAGCAGUAGGGAAUCUUCCGCAAUGGGCGAAAGCCUGACGGAGCAACGCCGCGUGAGUGAUGAAGGUCUUCGGAUCGUAAAACUCUGUUAUUAGGGAAGAACAUAUGUGUAAGUAACUGUGCACAUCUUGACGGUACCUAAUCAGAAAGCCACGGCUAACUACGUGCCAGCAGCCGCGGUAAUACGUAGGUGGCAAGCGUUAUCCGGAAUUAUUGGGCGUAAAGCGCGCGUAGGCGGUUUUUUAGUCUGAUGUGAAAGCCCACGGCUCAACCGUGGAGGGUCAUUGGAAACUGGAAAACUUGAGUGCAGAAGAGGAAAGUGGAAUUCCAUGUGUAGCGGUGAAAUGCGCAGAGAUAUGGAGGGACACCAGUGGCGAAGGCGACUUUCUGGUCUGUAACUGACGCUGAUGUGCGAAAGCGUGGGGAUCAAACAGGAUUAGAUACCCUGGUAGUCCACGCCGUAAACGAUGAGUGCUAAGUGUUAGGGGGUUUCCGCCCCUUAGUGCUGCAGCUAACGCAUUAAGCACUCCGCCUGGGGAGUACGACCGCAAGGUUGAAACUCAAAGGAAUUGACGGGGACCCGCACAAGCGGUGGAGCAUGUGGUUUAAUUCGAAGCAACGCGAAGAACCUUACCAAAUCUUGACAUCCUUUGACAACUCUAGAGAUAGAGCCUUCCCCUUCGGGGGACAAAGUGACAGGUGGUGCAUGGUUGUCGUCAGCUCGUGUCGUGAGAUGUUGGGUUAAGUCCCGCAACGAGCGCAACCCUUAAGCUUAGUUGCCAUCAUUAAGUUGGGCACUCUAAGUUGACUGCCGGUGACAAACCGGAGGAAGGUGGGGAUGACGUCAAAUCAUCAUGCCCCUUAUGAUUUGGGCUACACACGUGCUACAAUGGACAAUACAAAGGGCAGCGAAACCGCGAGGUCGAGCAAAUCCCAUAAAGUUGUUCUCAGUUCGGAUUGUAGUCUGCAACUCGACUACAUGAAGCUGGAAUCGCUAGUAAUCGUAGAUCAGCAUGCUACGGUGAAUACGUUCCCGGGUCU
Molecule: ribosomal RNA, 1371 nt
Filed under: uncultured bacterium
Lineage: Bacteria
Description: bacterial SSU rRNA
Rfam family: Bacterial small subunit ribosomal RNA
Source: RNAcentral